This is a long non-coding RNA of Myotis brandtii (Brandt's bat), 2734 nucleotides long. RefSeq lists it as uncharacterized. The record is from RefSeq and is a predicted model, not a curated record. The transcript has 3 exons. Lineage: Eukaryota; Metazoa; Chordata; Mammalia; Chiroptera; Vespertilionidae.
UCCUCUCUGAAAUAAAUAAAAAUAUAUUUUUAAAAAGGGAAUAAAAAAACUGCCACUUUUACUAUGAUACCGUGCUUUCAUAUCACUUAGGCUUUUUCUUUUAUACUUAUUAAAAGACUCCACUGUAUAUAUAUUUUAAAUAAUAUAUUCCUUUUGAGAACUAUCGUUUUCUGUUCAGCUUUUCAGCCCCUUUGUUUCUUCCACUUACAAACCAGCCAACACUUCAAAGAGGAAGGAAAGCAGCUUGGGGUGUCCCACUCACCUCACGGCAUUUCUUUUCUCCCUGAAAUCUUGGACCCUCAACCCCUGGAGUAUCUUAGUAGCUCUUUGUUGCUUUCAAACAGGUGUGUGUGUGUGUGUGUGUGUGUGUGUGUGCGCACACACACCUGUACUUAUUGUAUUUCUAGCUACUGUCAGUGGGAGUAGUUUGAUAGACACUGACUUGUCAAGAUCUUGUGUGACCAUAUAAUUUAUCCUCCAAACAAGGACAUUUCUGAGAGUGAAAGGGGGCACUAUUAAUAACACUGGAUCACCGAGCAUGCCUUGUGACUGUCUCAGACAACCAGGAACACAUGACCACCCUAAUCAUAGCCCCCUUUGCACUGCUGUAAAUACAUACAACAAAAACAGGAAAGAUUCCCUAUUAAAUUUUUUUUUUUACUGUAGAAACUAUCAUUUAUUGAAUACCGGUUAUUUCAUAAACUGUACUAAGUGUUUUACAUUCGUUUUCUCAUUUCAAUCCUCACAACAACCCAUUUACAAAGAAGAAAACAAACUCAGAAAAAUUAGGUCACUUGCCCAAGGUCGUACAGCUCGUCGGUGGUGGAGCAGGGUUUUGUCUGUGGCCGAAAGCCCCUGCUCUUUUAGUGACCCAUCUAGGUCAGCUUUGGGCAAAAGGCAACUUCACUGCUCAGCUCAGCAAAGAGCACCUGGGAGUGGAGGUUGCUGGCCACACUCACCGCUGGUCAGGAUGCACUGAAGCAGACUUGAUGUUGGUUUUUAUUCCACUUGGCAUUUCCCCUGGUUGACCUGCGUGGGCCCUUUGCACCCCGCUGAGCACCGACUGCUGCUGGCUUGGAGCACCUGAGAACAUGGAUGGGUGUGUGCCUGUUACCAACUUGGUGCUUCCCUGCUCCAAACACACCCUUCUCUGCCCCGCUCUGUGAUCCUGUCAGCCAGUGCCACCCGUUGGCCUUGUCAGUCCUAACACCAGGAAGGUGCUAGAGGAACACAGGCUUCUCUUCCUCGUUCCAGAACUUUCUGCUGGUUUCUACAGCACAGCUGCCAGUGGGCGGCUUCCCAAUGAGAUUUUGCCAUCACCCAGCACACAGUUUCCUGCUUGCCAACCGCAGCCUGCAGCACCUCAGCAAACUCCUCUGCCCUCCCGUGGGCCACCACCACGCCCUCACCAAUGAGUGCUGGCGGGGAGGGAGGGCCAUUUCCACGUUUAUUCCUUCCGUGGGAUUUCUAUGUCAUCUCUGGAGGCUGUGGCUGCUCCCUGUGUAUGUGCUUUCUGUAUUCUUUAGAGUCCUAUUUACCCCAUUCAGUGGUUAAUUUUCGUUUACUAAUUAACAAUUCUCUAUAUUGCAUGCUCCCUGUUCAAAGGACUGGUGUGGUUUCUGGAUCCUGGCUGAUACAGAAUACAUUAAUUACUUCUUUCACUUCUCAUUUGAGAACAAGGUCUUUCAAAGAAAAUGGAGAACAUAGUGGUUGGUAAAUACAGAAGUGAAAUUUCUGGGUCAUAAGGUAGCAGUUAUAAAUUCCACCAUGACCCCUGGACUACAAGAAAUGCCAAGCUCAACCGUAAACUUCAUUGUCAGUUUCCUAACCUGUAAAUGGGAUCAAAUGAGAGAACCUAUGGUGACUAGCACAGGGUCUGCCGUGUAGUAAUCAUUCACUAAGUGGUAACCAGAGAGGGUGUUACUGCUGCUGUUGUUGUAGUUAGUUAGGUUCCUCACACCACACUCUGAUCCCAGGGAGAAAAUGUUCCUCCGUGAUUGCUUGAAGAGGGAACUGGCUAAGGAAAGUAGCGGUAAGUAGCAACAGGUCCAAAUGCCAAGAAUUUCUCAUUGAGUUCCCAGAGAAGUGAGUAUGGGAGCGCCGGGGCCAAAAAGGCAGACAAUAGCAAACCAGAGUGAGGAUGUGGAGAAAUCAGGAUCUUCACACACUGCUGAUGGGGAGCUAAAAUGGUGCAGCCACUUUGGGGAACAGUCUGGCCGUUUUUUGAACAAAAUCCAAUAAAUGAAAGAUAUAAAUAUGAAAGAAACAAAUACACCGAAACACAGGAAGAGGAGGUCUCAACAGGCCUGGAACUGAACCUACAAGGAGUGGUUAAAAGAAGGCAAAGUUAGACUGAAGAAGGAAAUCUCAGUCCACAAUGUGUAGAGGAGCCAAGAAGAGAGUCUUUCCAAAGGUACUGGGAGCAGCGCUUAGGAUGCUUCAGACCCAAGUGGGGUAAAGAUGUGGGAGGAGAUCCAGGGACUACUGCGAGGGUACUUAGUUGGGGCACUGAGGCAGGAGCAGGUAGCACCCCCAUCGUAACCCAGGCAGCUAUGGUGGGGUGUGGGAGUUUAGAGCAGAGAGACAAGGCAGUACUUAGGUGGCAAGGAUCACCCAGGAGAAACUGGCAGCGCCCAAACCCAGAAGACCAGCUGCUAAGAUACCCUACUCCAGGGGUGGGCAACCCAUGGCACGCGUGCCAAACAUGGCAUGCCAGUAACUUUUGCUGGCACAC